This is a long non-coding RNA of Magnolia sinica, 304 nucleotides long. RefSeq lists it as uncharacterized. NCBI's taxonomy places the organism in Eukaryota, Viridiplantae, Streptophyta, Magnoliopsida, Magnoliales, Magnoliaceae. The record is from RefSeq and is a predicted model, not a curated record. The transcript has 3 exons.
AAUCCAUUUUUAGGGAUUUGCAUGGUCGAAUCCCUAAUUUAGAAGUGCUUAUUACAUCUGCAGAUUCUCGAACCAGGGUUGUUGAUGGUGUUGAUCUGAUUCACAAGUUCAAAGGAUCAGUAUAUACUGGGGUGGAUUUUUGUAAAAGGCUAUGCGGUGUCUCAGUUAUUAGAAGACUCUAAAAAUCAAAGGCUCUCUCCCUCCUCUCCUUUGCCUAGAAGCAUCUCAUUGCAUGGUCUCCUCAGCACUACACAUCUACAAAGAAACUUGGAUCACCACUUGCAAUAUUAAAAUAAAAUAAAAU